GACGAACCGUGCGAACGUUGUUCGGAAUCACUGGGCUUAAAGGGCGCGUAGGCGGGUCACCAAGUCUGGGGUGAAAUCUUUCGGCUCAACCGGAAAAUUGCCUUGGAUACUGGUGGUCUCGAGGGAGGUAGGGGCAUGUGGAACUUCCGGUGGAGCGGUGAAAUGCGUUGAUAUCGGAAGGAACACCAGUGGCGAAGGCGACUACCUGGCCUGUUCUUGACGCUGAGGCGCGAAAGCUAGGGGAGCAAACGGG
This 253-nucleotide ribosomal RNA is filed under the name uncultured bacterium. Its description in RNAcentral is "partial 16S ribosomal RNA". It matches the Rfam family "Bacterial small subunit ribosomal RNA", at positions 524 to 776 of the family's 1533-position model. The record is from RNAcentral.